Molecule: ribosomal RNA, 773 nt
Filed under: uncultured Neocallimastigales
Lineage: Eukaryota; Fungi; Neocallimastigomycota; Neocallimastigomycetes; Neocallimastigales
Description: partial large subunit ribosomal RNA
Rfam family: Eukaryotic large subunit ribosomal RNA
Source: RNAcentral
ACUAGAGUAGCACUCGCAUAUCAAUAAGCGGAGGAAAAGAAACUAACAAGGAUUCCCCUAGUAACGGCGAGUGAAGCGGGAAGAGCUCAAAUUUGAAAUCUUAAAGGGUUUCCCUUUACGAAUUGUAGUUUAAAGAAGUGUUUUCUGUUGAGGUUUUGGUAAAAGUUCUUUGGAAUAGGACAUCAUAGAGGGUGAGAAUCCCGUAUUUGACCUUUACUUUCAACUUUGUGAUACACUUUCAAAGAGUCGGAUUGUUUGGGAAUGCAGUCCAAAAUGGGUGGUAAAUUUCAUCUAAAGCUAAAUAUUGGCGAGAGACCGAUAGCGAACAAGUACCGUGAGGGAAAGAUGAAAAGAACUUUGAAAAGAGAGUUAAACAGUACGUGAAAUUGUCAAAAGGGAAGCGUUUGACACCAGUGUUGUUUUUCUGAAAAUCAAUUAAAGAACUGUUUAUGCUAAGUUGUUUAGACUUUAUCAGCUAACUGUUUAGUUUUGAGCUUUUCUUUAAUGCACUUUUCAGUUAACAAGUCAACAUCAAUUUCUUUUGCUGUAAAAAAGCUUGAGGAAGGUGGCUUGAGAUUCGUCUUAAGUGUUUAUAGCCUCUUGCCUAUGCAGUCGGAGAGAUUGAGGUCUGCAGCGUAGAUCCUUCGGGGCUAAAUGCAUUUGUGCUAAGUUAUAGCAUUUUAUAGACAACUUGUUGACUAUGAUUUGUCUUGUAGCUUACUCGCUUAUGUUAUUUUACCUACGCUUAGGAUGUUGAGCGCAUGUCUCUCUCU